This 425-nucleotide unclassified non-coding RNA is filed under the name soil metagenome. RNAcentral describes it as "partial contains 5.8S ribosomal RNA, internal transcribed spacer 2, and large subunit ribosomal RNA". The stretch from base 1 to 120 matches the Rfam family "5.8S ribosomal RNA", at positions 35 to 154 of the family's 154-position model. The record is from RNAcentral.
GAUGAAGAACGCAGCGAAAUGCGAUAAGUAGUGUGAAUUGCAGAAUUCCGUGAAUCAUCGAAUCUUUGAACGCACAUUGCGCCUUCUGGUAUUCCGGAAGGCAUGCCUGUUCGAGAGUCAUUAACAACCGUUUCGAUCCCUUUCUUUCAGAAAUUACAAAGAGGAAAAGGGUUUGGUUAUGGUGGAGGAGGGAAAGGGAGCGUUUAGCCUGUAAAAAAAGAGGCUAUGUUCCGCCUCCCCCCCAAAAUUGUACAGGCGGUCGUGUGCGCCCACGCAUCGAGGUGUUGUAAAAGCUGCCACGGCACUUUUCACCUGUGCAGUGCGAGAUUGGCCAGCCGGUUUAAAAACCCCUCCAAACAAUCAAAGGUUGACCUCGGAUCAGGUAGGGAUACCCGCUGAACUUAAGCAUAUCAAUAAGCGGAGGA